UUUGAGACCUCCUUUAAGACUGCAUGUUCAGCUCUUGAUACUGCUCCAGCGACAUACGCUGAAUCUGUUACCAGAUUAAAAGGUACCUGCUGUUCAAAAGGUCUUCUUACCACCUGGUUUCACAGUGGCAGAUGUGCGACAGAAGUUCUGCAUCUGCUAUGAAGAACUGCCAGUCCUGGGAACGAAAAUGGACAGGAUGACAGUGGAAGCACCGGCAUUUGGAUGGAAACUGCCUUGGUGCUGAGCCCUUUGGAGGUACAGCAGCCGAGGCAACCAGUUUAUCUUUGUGCUUCUUUGGGGCCUCCUCCAUCAUCAGAUCCACACCAACCUGUGCUGAGCCACGUGGAUGACGGUAUUCAAAGGAUUGCAACAUUUAAUAGAGCCACAAGCAAUAUGGAGAUCAGUGCAAGCCUUACAACUCACAUGAGGCAAUUAGCUUCACUAAACAGUAAAUAAACAAAUAGUGUAAUCUUUAUUUGCAGAAA
Molecule: long non-coding RNA, 485 nt
Organism: Vidua chalybeata
Lineage: Eukaryota; Metazoa; Chordata; Aves; Passeriformes; Viduidae
Exons: 4
Source: RefSeq, a predicted model, not a curated record